UACGGAGGGUGCAAGCGUUAUCCGGAUUCACUGGGUUUAAAGGGCGCGUAGGCGGCUUGGCAAGUGGAAGGUGAAAUCCCUCGGCUUAACCGAGGAACUGCCCUCCAAACUGCUUUGCUUGAGGCCGGGAGAGGCGAGUGGAAUUCCCAGUGUAGCGGUGAAAUGCGUAGAUAUUGGGAGGAACACCAGUGGCGAAGGCGGCUCGCUGGACCGGUUCUGACGCUGAGGCGCGAAAGCGUGGGGAGCAAACGGG
This 253-nucleotide ribosomal RNA is filed under the name uncultured bacterium. RNAcentral's name for it is "partial 16S ribosomal RNA". It matches the Rfam family "Bacterial small subunit ribosomal RNA", at positions 524 to 776 of the family's 1533-position model. The record is from RNAcentral.